Molecule: long non-coding RNA, 932 nt
Filed under: Triticum aestivum (bread wheat)
Lineage: Eukaryota; Viridiplantae; Streptophyta; Magnoliopsida; Poales; Poaceae
Description: long non-coding RNA (TAES_LNC021418)
Source: RNAcentral
CAGGCGAGUAGCACUGACCGUAGCAUCAACAUUGGGCACUCAGCAGGCAGCAGCAAGGUGAGUACUUCAAUUUCUGAUUUUAUCGGAUGUCCCCGAACAGAAGGGACUCAAUUUCUGAUUUCAUUGGAUGUCCCCGAACAGAAGGGACUCAAUUUCUGAUAUAUUUUUUUCAGUGAAAGAACGGAGAAUAAGAUUGAUGAGUGUGAUCUUUUUUUGUUAUUUACUUGUGAAUUUUUUGGAUUUGUAGGUUACAGAAAAUAAAGAACAAGUAUGGUGAUUAAAGCAUUUGUGUACCCAUUUCUUGCUUACAAGAAAAAUUAUAGAGUUAAACUGUAAUUGUUUUCUAUGUUCUUUCAGUGCAACUAAAUCAUUAGAUGUUGCCAAUAUUAAGAACAAUUUGUAAUUUUUUUGUCAUUAUUGUGAAUUUUCAUGUCUUGUAUUUCAGCUUCUGCAGGUGUUAUUUCAAGGUGUCACCAUGGCGAGAUCAUCUUUGCCGCUAACCAGGAACGUGAGAAUUGUUUCGAUGCUGAAAACUCUCAACUGAACAGUAUGAAGUUUGAUAUGCACUUGACGCUGGAUCAUUGCACUUCCCCCGUUGAGUUCAAAUAUGAUUCUGCUAACUCUAAUGCAGUGCCAGCAUGCAGAAGUUACAACAUCUAUGCUGUUGGAAUUCAGAAGUUCAGAGUUUCAGUUUCAUUUUAGCUUUUAAGGAUCAGACUUUGUCUGUUUCGGUUUCUGAAUAAAGUUACAAAUGAAUGUCUUGACAAUGUCGUUAAUCGCUUGUUAAGAUUUCAUACCCUGUUUUCCGUUUGACUUGUGAUCGAAUCAAUGCCAAUCUUCGCGUUCGUUCAGAUGGGACGCCUCUGAACAGAAUUUGUGAUCUCUGUUUGUUAUCAGUUUGGGUGAUUUAAACAGUUUUGGUUUCAGCUGUA